This 165-nucleotide small RNA is filed under the name chicken gut metagenome. Its description in RNAcentral is "Clostridiales-1 RNA". It matches the Rfam family "Clostridiales-1 RNA". The record is from RNAcentral.
GAUGCCAGGGUUCCAAGGCCUUUCGCCCACAUGAGCUUGCUCAUCAGUGGGUGAAAGGCCUUGGGACCCGCCCAGAUAUGAGCAUAAAAGUGGGAUGUAUAUCCCACGAUAUGCGAAUAUUGGGGGGAUUGUGGGAGUGCGCAGCACGGAACAAUCCGUAGGCAU